RNAcentral lists this transfer RNA (72 nucleotides) under Schizosaccharomyces osmophilus. RNAcentral describes it as "tRNA-Glu". It matches the Rfam family "tRNA". From Rfam's summary of the family: Transfer RNA (tRNA) molecules are approximately 80 nucleotides in length. Their secondary structure includes four short double-helical elements and three loops (D, anti-codon, and T loops). Lineage: Eukaryota; Fungi; Ascomycota; Schizosaccharomycetes; Schizosaccharomycetales; Schizosaccharomycetaceae. The record is from RNAcentral.
GGCUCUAUUGUCUAAAGGAUAAGACCUAACAUCUUCAUUGUUAUUAUCUUGGUUCGAAUCCAAGUAGGGCUA